UACCUACGGGGCGCAGCAGUAGGGAAUCUUCCACAAUGGGCGAAAGCCUGAUGGAGCAACGCCGCGUGGGUGAAGAAGGUCUUCGGAUCGUAAAACCCUGCUGUUAGAGAAGAAAGUGCGUGAGAGUAACUGUUCACAUUUCGACGGUAUCUAACCAGAAAGCCACGGCUAACUACGUGCCAGCAGCCGCGGUAAUACGUAGGUGGCAAGCGUUAUCCGGAUUUAUUGGGCGUAAAGGGAACGCAGGCGGUCUUUUAAGUCUGAUGUGAAAGCCUUCGGCUUAACCGGCGUGGUGCAUUUGACAU
Molecule: ribosomal RNA, 305 nt
Filed under: uncultured bacterium
Lineage: Bacteria
Description: bacterial SSU rRNA
Rfam family: Bacterial small subunit ribosomal RNA
Source: RNAcentral